CCCGCCGCAGCUCCCAGUAUUGUCUUCCGGUUGCUAGACGACGCCGCUUUCCAGUACAUUAUUCGGAAUAUAAAAACUAAAAUGGGAUGUGUCACACGGCACCUUCGCAUCUCCUGUCGGCGGGGCCGACGGCUGCUGACGCAGACGGAAGAGAAACUCGGAGGAGAUACCGUCCCAGAUGUAAAGGGGUGAACUCUCUCUUCCUCUGACCUCGACAGAAGUCCGAGGAGGAAGACUCAACUCUCUCUUAUCUAAAGGGUGAGUCCAGCUGCCACGAGAGAUUUCGAAACCUCUCUCCCCACGCAGGGGUGGACAUCCCCACGGGGUCCAGAGAGCCCGCCCGAGUGCAGUUCAGGCCGCUUCUCUUACACGCUCUCCUCAAGCGCACAACCUGUCCCAGACCCGAGAUGCUCCCGUCACCUACCCAAUACCCACCCCACCCCCCUUCUGGGGCUUGCCUUCAACUUGUUGCAUCCCUCGCUGUCACAGUUGUCACCUUACCACCUGCACGACUUUUCCCUUGAAUCUCCUUCUGGCCGGUUUGGAAGAUGGGGCCCUAAACGAAGUUCACGCUUUCCCUCUCUCCGGCCCGUGGUCUGUGCUCCUCGGCUGCAGCCACGCUGGCUGAACGCACCAGGCGCACAUCCGCCUCAGGGCCUUGGCGCGUGCUGUUCCCCCCACCACGAGCGCUCUGUGUCACCCACGUGGCUCCCUCACUCCCUUCCUCGGGGUCUUUACCCACACGCCCACUCAUCAGUGAGCUGUCCCCCACCACUCUCUUCGGAGCUCCCGCCCACGCGUGGUUUCCCACGAGCUUAUCUCCCCCUUGUCUCCUUCCUUAUCUGCCUCGCCCACUGGAAUGCCAGCUUCACGCGGGCAGGGACUUCUGACUCUCUCUGUCCUCUGUCACAGCCCGGUGCCCACAGCGGCGCUCAGCGUAUCCACGCCGCGAGAGUUACUGGGCGUUCGCGGCUCGCCUGCGAUUGAGGAAUUCUCCGUUCCUCAAGCUGAAGGCCGCUUCGUGCCUCCUGGGCCCUCGGAGAGAUCGGAGGAGUUGGGCCAAGGCCUCCCUCCCUCCCUCCUCCUCCUCACCGCCCUUUUGACGCUGUAUAUUCUGCUUCCCCGACAGACGCAGGAAAGUGGGGUCGUUCUAGAGGGAGACGGAGCCUUUCCCGAUUUAGGAACACAGGUGUUGGCUCCGCCGGGGCCAAAGGCUCCCGCGUCUCUAGGAGCUCCCAGGAGGAAAUUCAUCUGAAAUGUGCUCACCCUCCCUGGUGGGGAACGGGGCUGUGGGCGAGGCAGCCCAUGCGGGCAGGCGGCCCUUACACAGGCUUUCCAGAAAGAGCUGGAAAGCAGAUACCCGAGCCACAGGAAAAAGAAUGACCUCUUGCAGCCAAGAGCCUGACUGGAAAGUCCGCGUAAAGGACACCUGGAGGAAGUGGGGGGCUCCAUCACCUCCUCCGCCCGCCGGUAACCCUUUCUUCCUCACUCGGCCGCCCCGCACAUCCGCCUUCCCGGAGGCUCACCCCAUCUUUGCCAUUCGAAAGCUCACUGGGUUCUCCCAACACAUCAGAGCUUUUUUUUUUUCUUUUCCCUUUUUCUUUUCUUUUCUUUCUUUUUUUUUUUUUUUUUUUUUCAUCUUGUUUGAAAAGCCUUUUGUGAGGUUGGGAGUGACCCAAAAGUCGCCUCUCUAUUCCUGUCUGAGGAGAGAGUAUUUCCAGAUCGGAGGCGCGGUCUGCAGGGCCCGGGCCAGGCGUCCAUGAAUACCGGAUUAUGCCUCCUACCCCAGUCUCCUAAGCGUGUGCCAGCCACAGUUCCAGAAUGAACCAUAAGCGGAGAAAAAAAAAUUUUGUGAAUCAAGAGGUUUAUUAUUUUCUCCCAGUAAGGAUUUUGAAACCCAGAUUUCCACAUUUUUAAGGGUUUGAUGUCAUAAAAUUCCCAUGUAUGAUUACAUUUUAAAAAACAGAGUCAUUGUGUGUGUGUGUGUGUGUGUGUGUGUGUGUGUGUGUGUUGGAACGUAAGAGGUUUAGCAUACAACUCAGAAAAUGAAUUCCUAAACCCAGAGUUUGAAAGGCACAGACACAACGGGCCAUCGAGCUGGGCAUCUGCUACAACGAAUCCAUGGGAUGUUAAGUCUGUUGUCCUGGAACCAUCUGGAAAUUAAAUGUUAGUCUUCUGAAAAGAA
Herpailurus yagouaroundi (jaguarundi) is the source of this 2185-nucleotide long non-coding RNA. RefSeq lists it as uncharacterized. The record is from RefSeq and is a predicted model, not a curated record. The transcript is spliced from 2 exons. NCBI's taxonomy places the organism in Eukaryota, Metazoa, Chordata, Mammalia, Carnivora, Felidae.